GACGUGUAGGCGGUGGCAGAUGAUCUGGGGAUCGAUGCCAGGCAUGUCAGAUGGCGACCAUGCAAAUACGUCUUUGUUGUUCCGGAGGAAGGCUGCAAGUGCUAUCUUUUCCUCAUGGCUUAGGAGCGAGCCGAUCCGCGCUUUUCUCUCUGGCUUGUCAGGAUCAAGGGGUACUAGCUCAACGUCCUCUUCGGGCUUCCAUCCUUCUUCAGGAGAGACCUCCGG
This 225-nucleotide long non-coding RNA is filed under the name Prunus persica (peach). Its description in RNAcentral is "long non-coding RNA (PPER_LNC003222)". Lineage: Eukaryota; Viridiplantae; Streptophyta; Magnoliopsida; Rosales; Rosaceae. The record is from RNAcentral.